RNAcentral lists this non-coding RNA (100 nucleotides) under Paenibacillus bovis. RNAcentral's name for it is "Guanine sequence". It matches the Rfam family "Purine riboswitch aptamer". Rfam says of the family: Riboswitches are metabolite binding domains within certain messenger RNAs that serve as precision sensors for their corresponding targets. Allosteric rearrangement of mRNA structure is mediated by ligand binding, and this results in modulation of gene expression. A class of riboswitches that selectively recognises guanine and becomes saturated at concentrations as low as 5 nM. Lineage: Bacteria; Bacillati; Bacillota; Bacilli; Caryophanales; Paenibacillaceae. The record is from Rfam by way of RNAcentral.
GAGUUUGUAACCAUUCUCUUUCGUAUAACCCCGGUAAUACGGUCCGGGGGUCUCUACCAGGAGCCGUAAAAUCCUGAUUACGAAAAAUGCUGCCAUAUCC